This 74-nucleotide transfer RNA is filed under the name Myxococcales bacterium. RNAcentral's name for it is "tRNA-Arg". It matches the Rfam family "tRNA". Rfam says of the family: Transfer RNA (tRNA) molecules are approximately 80 nucleotides in length. Their secondary structure includes four short double-helical elements and three loops (D, anti-codon, and T loops). Further hydrogen bonds mediate the characteristic L-shaped molecular structure. tRNAs have two regions of fundamental functional importance: the anti-codon, which is responsible for specific mRNA codon recognition, and the 3' end, to which the tRNAs corresponding amino acid is attached (by aminoacyl-tRNA synthetases). tRNAs cope with the degeneracy of the genetic code in two manners: having more than one tRNA (with a specific anti-codon) for a particular amino acid; and 'wobble' base-pairing, i.e. permitting non-standard base-pairing at the 3rd anti-codon position. Lineage: Bacteria; Pseudomonadati; Myxococcota; Myxococcia; Myxococcales. The record is from RNAcentral.
GGAUGCAUAGCUCAGUUGGAUAGAGCGUCGGCCUCCGGAGCCGAAGGUCGUGGGUUCGAAUCCCUCUGCAUCCG